RNAcentral lists this ribosomal RNA (489 nucleotides) under uncultured bacterium. Its description in RNAcentral is "bacterial SSU rRNA". It matches the Rfam family "Bacterial small subunit ribosomal RNA", at positions 339 to 845 of the family's 1533-position model. The record is from RNAcentral.
CUACGGGAGGCAGCAGUGGGGAAUAUUGCACAAUGGACGAAAGUCUGAUGCAGCAACGCCGCGUGGAGGAUGACACAUUUCGGUGCGUAAACUCCUUUUAUAUGAGAAGAUAAUGACGGUAUUAUAUGAAUAAGCACCGGCUAACUCCGUGCCAGCAGCCGCGGUAAUACGGGGGGUGCAAGCGUUACUCGGAAUCACUGGGCGUAAAGAGCAUGUAGGCGGAUUAAUAAGUUUGAAGUGAAAUCCUAUAGCUUAACUAUAGAACUGCUUUGAAAACUGUUAAUCUAGAAUGUGGGAGAGGUAGAUGGAAUUUCUGGUGUAGGGGUAAAAUCCGUAGAGAUCAGAAGGAAUACCGAUUGCGAAGGCGAUCUACUGGAACAUUAUUGACGCUGAGAUGCGAAAGCGUGGGGAGCAAACAGGAUUAGAUACCCUGGUAGUCCACGCCCUAAACGAUGUACACUAGUUGUUGUGAGACUUGAUCUUGCAGUA